ACGAACGCUGGCGGCGUGCUUAACACAUGCCAGUCGAACGGAAAGGCCCUGCUUUUGUGGGGUGCUCGAGUGGCGAACGGGUGAGUAACACGUGAGUAACCUGCCCUUGACUUUGGGAUAACUUCAGGAAACUGGGGCUAAUACCGGAUAGGAGCUCCUGCUGCAUGGUGGGGGUUGGAAAGUUUCGGCGGUUGGGGAUGGACUCGCGGCUUAUCAGCUUGUUGGUGGGGUAGUGGCUUACCAAGGCUUUGACGGGUAGCCGGCCUGAGAGGGUGACCGGCCACAUUGGGACUGAGAUACGGCCCCGACUCCUACGGGAGGCAGCAGUGGGGAAUAUUGCACAAUGGGCGGAAGCCUGAUGCAGCAACGCCGCGUGCGGGAUGACGGCCUUCGGGUUGUAAACCGCUUUCGCCUGUGACGAAGCGUGAGUGACGGUAAUGGGUAAAGAAGCACCGGCUAACUACGUG
RNAcentral lists this ribosomal RNA (467 nucleotides) under uncultured bacterium. Its description in RNAcentral is "partial 16S ribosomal RNA". It matches the Rfam family "Bacterial small subunit ribosomal RNA", at positions 29 to 507 of the family's 1533-position model. The record is from RNAcentral.